This is a long non-coding RNA of Dromaius novaehollandiae (emu), 297 nucleotides long. RefSeq lists it as uncharacterized. NCBI's taxonomy places the organism in Eukaryota, Metazoa, Chordata, Aves, Casuariiformes, Dromaiidae. The record is from RefSeq and is a predicted model, not a curated record. The transcript is spliced from 2 exons.
GGGGAAGCCUUGGCCUUUCUGUCAGCGCGACGGGUGGAGGCCGUGAGGCGACCGGCGGCGCUGGGACGGCGGCGGGGAGCGGCCUCGCGAAUAAAGCUGUGUGCGUCCCGCAAGCGUGUGCGGCUGCUUCUUCGUGCGCCGUGCUCCCCUUCCCCUCCGCACUGCCUUUGACCCGGCGGGGCGCCCCGCCCGCGGCGCCGCUGGCCAAGCUGCAGUGCCAGAGCGAAGCGCUUGUUCAUAACUGGGGCUGCUCGGACCCGCCCGGGCGGCGCUUUUAAAAGCAAGUUACAGCUCGUU